RNAcentral lists this ribosomal RNA (306 nucleotides) under uncultured bacterium. Its description in RNAcentral is "partial 16S ribosomal RNA". It matches the Rfam family "Bacterial small subunit ribosomal RNA", at positions 507 to 807 of the family's 1533-position model. The record is from RNAcentral.
GACAGCAGCAGCCGCGGGAAUACGAAGGGUGCAAGCGUUACUCGGAACUACUGGGCGUAAAGCGUGUGUAGGUGGUUGUUUAAGUCUGUCGUGAAAGCCCUGGGCUCAACCUGGGAAUUGCGAUGGAUACUGGGCGACUAGAGUGCGGUAGAGGAUAGUGGAAUUUCCGGUGUAGCAGUGAAAUGCGUAGAGAUCGGAAGGAACAUCAGUGGCGAAGGCGGCCAUCUGGGACAACACUGACGCUGAGGCACGAAAGCGUGGGGAGCAAACAGGAUUAGAUACCCCCGUAGUCCCUGUCUCUUAUAC